UACGGAGGGGGCUAGCGUUGUUCGGAAUUACUGGGCGUAAAGCGCGCGUAGGCGGACCUGCAAGUCGGGGGUGAAAGCCCGAGGCUCAACCUCGGAACUGCCUUCGAUACUGCGGGUCUCGAGUCCGGGAGAGGUGAGUGGAAUUCCCGGUGUAGCGGUGAAAUGCGCAGAUAUCAGGAGGAACACCGGUGGCGAAGGCGACUACCUGGCCUGUUCUUGACGCUGAGGCGCGAAAGCUAGGGGAGCAAACGGG
RNAcentral lists this ribosomal RNA (253 nucleotides) under uncultured bacterium. RNAcentral describes it as "partial 16S ribosomal RNA". It matches the Rfam family "Bacterial small subunit ribosomal RNA", at positions 524 to 776 of the family's 1533-position model. The record is from RNAcentral.